GACGAACGCUGGCGGUAUGCUUAACACAUGCAAGUCGAACGAGAAGUCUUUUAUUGAACCUUCGGGGGAUAUAAGAGACAGACAGUGGCGAACGGGUGAGUAACGCGUGGGCAACCUACCUAUCGGAGCGGGAUAGCCUCGAGAAAUCGGGAGUAAAACCGCAUAACACGGAUAUAUCGCAUGAUGAAUCCGUCAAAACUCCGGUGCCGAUAGAUGGGCCCGCGUCUGAUUAGCUAGUUGGUAAGGUAAGGGCUUACCAAGGCAACGAUCAGUAGCCGGUCUGAGAGGGCGAACGGCCACACUGGAACUGAGACACGGUCCAGACUCCUACGGGAGGCAGCAGUGGGGAAUAUUGCGCAAUGGGGGCAACCCUGACGCAGCAAUACCGCGUGAGUGAAGAAGGUUUUCGGAUCGUAAAGCUCUGUUAUUGGGGAAGAAGCAGUGACGGUACCCAAUGAGGAAGUCCCGGCUAACUACGUG
This 480-nucleotide ribosomal RNA is filed under the name uncultured bacterium. RNAcentral's name for it is "bacterial SSU rRNA". It matches the Rfam family "Bacterial small subunit ribosomal RNA", at positions 28 to 507 of the family's 1533-position model. The record is from RNAcentral.